UAAAAAAACACAAACAAACAACAUAUGAACGAACAUAACAAUAAAAGCACAAAAACAAACAAUUAGAGGCGCCAACAACCAAAGUCACAAAACAUAAUCAGCAAGCAAAUACACAUGACCGACGACGUAGCGGUAACGAAGUUCCACAAAGCAGUAGUCACAAACCAAAAAAAGCUAUCGCAAACAAGAACUAUCGCCACUGUGAAACACGACACGGAUCUGGUGCAUAUACCCAUGUACAUCAAGAACAAUA
Molecule: long non-coding RNA, 253 nt
Filed under: Medicago truncatula (barrel medic)
Lineage: Eukaryota; Viridiplantae; Streptophyta; Magnoliopsida; Fabales; Fabaceae
Description: long non-coding RNA (MTRU_LNC003813)
Source: RNAcentral